RNAcentral lists this ribosomal RNA (162 nucleotides) under Staphylococcus aureus. RNAcentral's name for it is "partial 16S ribosomal RNA". It matches the Rfam family "Bacterial small subunit ribosomal RNA", at positions 1380 to 1533 of the family's 1533-position model. Lineage: Bacteria; Bacillati; Bacillota; Bacilli; Caryophanales; Staphylococcaceae. The record is from RNAcentral.
CUUGUACACACCGCCCGUCACACCACGAGAGUUUGUAACACCCGAAGCCGGUGGAGUAACCUUUUAGGAGCUAGCCGUCGAAGGUGGGACAAAUGAUUGGGGUGAAGUCGUAACAAGGUAGCCGUAUCGGAAGGUGCGGCUGGAUCACCUCCUUUCUAAGGA